RNAcentral lists this ribosomal RNA (901 nucleotides) under Bacillus sp. VC-YC6640. RNAcentral describes it as "bacterial SSU rRNA". It matches the Rfam family "Bacterial small subunit ribosomal RNA", at positions 54 to 937 of the family's 1533-position model. Lineage: Bacteria; Bacillati; Bacillota; Bacilli; Caryophanales; Bacillaceae. The record is from RNAcentral.
CAUGCAAGUCGAGCGGAUCUUCAUUAGCUUGCUUUUGAAGAUCAGCGGCGGACGGGUGAGUAACACGUGGGCAACCUGCCUGUAAGACUGGGAUAACUUCGGGAAACCGGAGCUAAUACCGGAUAAUCCUUUUCCUCACAUGAGGGAAAGCUGAAAGACGGUUUCGGCUGUCACUUACAGAUGGGCCCGCGGCGCAUUAGCUAGUUGGUGAGGUAACGGCUCACCAAGGCAACGAUGCGUAGCCGACCUGAGAGGGUGAUCGGCCACACUGGGACUGAGACACGGCCCAGACUCCUACGGGAGGCAGCAGUAGGGAAUCUUCCGCAAUGGACGAAAGUCUGACGGAGCAACGCCGCGUGAGCGAUGAAGGCCUUCGGGUCGUAAAGCUCUGUUGUCAGGGAAGAACAAGUAUCGGAGUAACUGCCGGUACCUUGACGGUACCUGACCAGAAAGCCACGGCUAACUACGUGCCAGCAGCCGCGGUAAUACGUAGGUGGCAAGCGUUGUCCGGAAUUAUUGGGCGUAAAGCGCGCGCAGGCGGUUCCUUAAGUCUGAUGUGAAAGCCCCCGGCUCAACCGGGGAGGGUCAUUGGAAACUGGGGAACUUGAGUGCAGAAGAGGAGAGCGGAAUUCCACGUGUAGCGGUGAAAUGCGUAGAGAUGUGGAGGAACACCAGUGGCGAAGGCGGCUCUCUGGUCUGUAACUGACGCUGAGGCGCGAAAGCGUGGGGAGCGAACAGGAUUAGAUACCCUGGUAGUCCACGCCGUAAACGAUGAGUGCUAAGUGUUAGAGGGUUUCCGCCCUUUAGUGCUGCAGCAAACGCAUUAAGCACUCCGCCUGGGGAGUACGGCCGCAAGGCUGAAACUCAAAGGAAUUGACGGGGGCCCGCACAAGCGGUGGAA